This 481-nucleotide ribosomal RNA is filed under the name uncultured bacterium. RNAcentral describes it as "bacterial SSU rRNA". It matches the Rfam family "Bacterial small subunit ribosomal RNA", at positions 28 to 496 of the family's 1533-position model. The record is from RNAcentral.
GAUGAACGCUAGCGGCAGGCUUAAUACAUGCAAGUCGAGGGGCAGCAGGUCCCGCAGCAAUGCGGGAUGCUGGCGACCGGCAAACGGGUGCGGAACACGUACGCAACCUACCCAUAACUGGAGGACAGCCCGGGGAAACCCGGAUUAAUACUCCGUAACAUAUUGAGAAGGCAUCUUCUUACUAUUAUAGUCUUCGGGCGGUUAUGGAUGGGCGUGCGCCUGAUAGGUAGUUGGCGGGGUAACGGCCCACCAAGCCUACGAUCAGUAACUGGUGUGAGAGCACGACCAGUCACACGGGCACUGAGACACGGGCCCGACUCCUACGGGAGGCAGCAGUAAGGAAUAUUGGGCAAUGGACGCAAGUCUGACCCAGCCAUGCCGCGUGGAGGAUGAAGGUCCUCUGGAUUGUAAACUUUCUUUUAUCUGGGAAGAAAUCAUUGAAUUCUUUCGAUGUUGACGGUACCAGAUGAAUAAGCACCGG